CGUAGGGUGCGAGCGUUAAUCGGAAUUACUGGGCGUAAAGCGUGCGCAGGCGGUUUUGUAAGACAGAUGUGAAAUCCCCGGGCCCAACCUGGGACCUGCAUUUGUGACUGCAAGGCUAGAGUACGGUAGAGGGGGAUGGAAUUCCGCGUGUAGCAGUGAAAUGCGUAGAUAUGCGGAGGAACACCGAUGGCGAAGGCAAUCCCCUGGACCUGUACUGACGCUCAUGCACGAAAGCGUGGGGAGCAAACAGGAUUAGAUACCCUGGUAGUCCACGCCCUAAACGAUGUCAACUGGUUGUUGGGUCUUUACUGACUCAGUAACGAAGCUAACGCGUGAAGUUGACCGCCUGGGGAGUACGGCCGCAAGGUUG
This 370-nucleotide ribosomal RNA is filed under the name uncultured organism. RNAcentral describes it as "bacterial SSU rRNA". It matches the Rfam family "Bacterial small subunit ribosomal RNA", at positions 526 to 896 of the family's 1533-position model. The record is from RNAcentral.